Molecule: ribosomal RNA, 393 nt
Filed under: uncultured eukaryote
Lineage: Eukaryota
Description: bacterial SSU rRNA
Rfam family: Eukaryotic small subunit ribosomal RNA
Source: RNAcentral
CAAUAGCGUAUAUUAAUGUUGUUGCAGUUAAAAAGCUCGUAGUUGGAUUCCUGGCUCGGGGUAGCCGGUCCGCCUUGCAAAAGGUGCGCACUGUGCGGCCUCGGCCAUCCUUUAGAAAAGCGGUUCUGGCAUUCAGUUGUCGGGGUCGGGCUUCUAAACGUUUACUGUGAAAAAAUCAGAGUGUUCAACGCAGGCUUACGCCUUGAAUACAUUAGCAUGGAAUAAUGAGAUAGGACUUUGGUCGGUCUAUUUUGUUUGGUUUGUCACGCCGAAGUAAUGAUUAACAGGGACGGUUGGGGUUCGUUUGUUAUUCAAUUGUCAGAGGUGAAAUUCUUGGAUUUAUUGGAAGACAAACUAGCUGCGAAAGCGUCGAACAAGGACGUUCUCAUUAAU